GACGAACGCUGGCGGCGUGCCUAAUACAUGCAAGUAGAACGCUGAAGCGAGGAGCUUGCUCUUCUUGGAUGAGGUGCGCACGGGUGAGUAACGCGUAGGUAACCUGCCUUGUAGCGGGGGAUAACUAUUGGAAACGAUAGCUAAUACCGCAUAACAAUGGAUGACACAUGUCAGUUAGUUGAAAGGGGCAAUUGCUCCACUACAAGAUGGACCUGCGUUGUAUUAGGUAGUAGGUGAGGUAAUGGCUCACCUAGGCGACGAUACAUAGCCGCCAUGAGAGGGUGGUCGGCCAGCCUGGGAGGGUGACCCGGCCCAGACGCCUUGGGGAGGCAGCAGGAGGGAAUCGGGGGCAAUGGGGGGGACACUGAGCGCGAAACGCGGCGUGAGGGAAGAAGGUUGUCGGAUCGGAAAGGUCGGUUGUAAGUUAAGAAAGGGCGUGAGAGUGGAAAGUUCAGAGUGUGACGGUAGCUUACAAGAAAGGGACGGCUAACUACGUG
This 497-nucleotide ribosomal RNA is filed under the name uncultured bacterium. Its description in RNAcentral is "partial 16S ribosomal RNA". It matches the Rfam family "Bacterial small subunit ribosomal RNA", at positions 28 to 507 of the family's 1533-position model. The record is from RNAcentral.